UUGUUCAAAUGUAUGUGGGCUAAUACAACUACUUCUAGGGGGAUUGUGACUGAUGAGUUGGGAUUUACAAGUGUAUGUUUUGGACGCUUGAUUCAUACUGGUGAUAAUGAUGAUGAUGAACCAUACAUUCAAGCAUCAGAAGCACAAAUGGUAUAUUAUGUAGAUGAUGAGUUUGAUAAAAAUUGGUGCAUCCCUGUACAUAUAAAGCCUAGAGACUUGUACAACAUCGGUGAAGAUGAUGUUGACAACGUUCAUGAAUGUGAAUCGUUUCAACAACAAAACUUAGAAACAUUAUUUCCCGAUGAUGAAAGAAAUAUACCAUUAACAAGACCACUUGAAGAUGAAGAAAAUGACAUUUAAGAAGAAGGAGAGAAAACAUCAUACACAGCAAAGUGCCUCUCAUACAUGGGGUCACACAACUAAUCAUCCACCAGCUCCUCAAGUCCAAUCCUCACCCUCUCUUUCUGCCCCUCAAAGAAGAACAUACAAACUAAAGCUACCUUCGACAAGCCAAAGCACAUGCACUCCUACUCAUAUUGAGUCCCCAAAUGCAUUUGCUUUUCAAUCAGCAUGGACUCCUGCACCUAUUCAGUCCCCAGAUGCAUUUUUUCAAUCAUCAGUUCAAGUUAAUGUAAGUGUUUCAAUUACAUUAGUAAAAACAG
This is a long non-coding RNA of Vigna angularis (adzuki bean), 662 nucleotides long. RefSeq lists it as uncharacterized. NCBI's taxonomy places the organism in Eukaryota, Viridiplantae, Streptophyta, Magnoliopsida, Fabales, Fabaceae. The transcript has 3 exons. The record is from RefSeq and is a predicted model, not a curated record.